AUGUCUUAUGUCCCACUUCUAGAGUCCUAGAACCAAAUUAAAGCUAAAGCCAAAAGUACAGAAAGAAGCAAUAAAAGCACACCAAUUUAAUACCUUGGGAGUGUUAUCAUCUGUUGCUUCUGCUUAACUUUUUAUUUAAGUGAUAUGCUGCAAUACAUGGUUUACUUUUUAUAAUUUAAUUACCCUUUUAUUACUGAAUGGCUCCUUGUUUACCUAUCUCUUAUUUAAAGAAAUACUCUCAGGCAUAUUAGGAAGCAUACAAAUAUGUAAACACUUUGAGACAGACCAUCAUGCUGUAACUAUAAAAAGAGGUAAUCUUUGUCAGAAUCAUUUUCCUAAUAUUACCUAAAUUUCCCUGUUACAAAUUAUUUCUUUGUAUUAUAAAUGACAACUAGUUUUUGAAGACUAUUUAAAUCAAGACUCUACUGUGCCCUGUUUGAAUUUUCUUUUCUAAAAUCUGGAUCUUACUAUCAUUUGCCAAAGUGACAUUUUCAACAACUCAGAAACACAGGGAGAAGGAAAAGUGUGCCAGCAUGGGCCGAGUCAAGGAGCCUUGGCUCUAGAGAGGCCAGCUGUGGUAACAGACGGAGACCAUGCCCCUCUACAACAAAAGACUGCUUACUUAUGCAUUGCAUGAUGUUAGUUUAAAUCUGGAAAGUUUGGUCUUGGUUGUACUGGAGGCAGCACUUCCGUUUAAUCCAAGCACUCCUGAGGCAGAAGGAUCUCGGAGUUUGAGACUGGUCUACAAAGCUAAUUCCAUGACAGCCAGGGCUACAAACACACACACACACACACACACACACACACACUUGUUUCUAAAUAAAUUUAGAAAAUUUUAUUAGCUUUGAUACUUAUUGUUCUACCCUGUUUGGUUAAGACAUAGAAAUCAGCUGCCAUUCUUACAAUUAAAGCUUUCAAGAAUUCAGGAUUCUGUAUAGGAUAAACCUUUUAGCAUUUGAUCCACUGCUCUGACAAACCUUGAUCUCAUUUCAACUUCUCAGUUAUUUUUUGUAACUAUCAUAUAUGAGAUAGAUAUUUCAGUUGCCUACUGAAGUACUUGUAAAAUGUUGAGAGUAUCCAAUAAAAUGGAAUAGCUCCCUGAUGAGGAAACUACUUUUGAUUAUUCCAGUUCUGGCAGACUCUGGAUGGGACUCCCUCAAAAAUUUAAAAUAGAAAACAGAACAUAAUACAGAAAGGCUCUUAGCACAAAGAGUUUGGCUUUCUCCUGGUUCCAACAAAUAGCUGAAAUGUUAUAUUAUAUGAAGAACAUAAUCUAAAUCGAAGGUAAUUUUUAUAUAUAGUUCCAGUUCAAAAUAAACUCCAAGAAAUGAAAUUUUUCCUACAUUACAUUCAUAGUUAGUUUUUUAGCUGUUUAUUAUUUAUGUGACUUAAUUCAUUGAUAUGGCAAAUACAAAUGUCAGCAUCCUAUUUCUAAGGCAAGUAUAACUUAUUGCCUGAGAUGUGUUCCAGAAACAUGUUCUGUAAUUUCAUCUUUUCUGUAUGCAUUCCUAUAUUAUUUCCAUAGAACAGCUGAUUUCUAGAGAAACUUGAUAGACUUUUCAGCUAUAAGCUUCUCUGUCCAUAGAGAAAUGUUGAGGCUCACAAUCUUCCUCAUGGGAUAGCCAUCAUGAAAUUACUGUUAUGUUGUGACAUUUAACUCUCCAAGUAAUGGUUUUCUUUUUUUUUCUUUUCUUGCACCAUUUUUUCCUCACAAUCUCAGAUUUCUAAAUAAAAAUGAGACAAGAGGACUGCCUCCUAGUCAUUUUCUCUGUCCAACUAUUUACAAAAUGUAUUACCUAGUUCCUGUUAGUAUCCUAGAAGCAAUAAACUCAUUACGAACAGCAAAUGUAAAACAAGAAAGCAUGCUAUUUAUGCCACUCUCCAUACACAAAUCAUUUCCCAUCAACUAACUUCUUUUCUCUACCCUAAUGGGAGGUAGUUGGUAAGUAUCAACCUCCCUUUAUGGCCAAGGGAACUGAGGUAACAUCUAGAUGUCAAUGAAGAAUCCAGUCCAACGGUAGCUUUGCUUGGUAUUGGAAGAAAUGUGUUUUUACUUGUGUGCAUAUAUGUGCUUUCCAAUGGAUAAUUAAUAAGGAGAUGUCAUUCCAGACAUGCUAGCAACAUAGUCUGAAUUGAUUAUCAGAAUGGGCUGCACUGUUUCUUUAGCAUAGAUGUCCUUCACACGUGCUACAAAGUCAUAAAGAUAAUGCACAUCAAUCCUUUGAGCUUGAUCUUUGGGGAAGCAAAGAAAUUUUAAACACCUCCUUUUUCUAGUAUUCUUUGAAGAGUUUUGGGUUGCAUACAUCAGUCAGAUGCUGUAAUCAUAUCCCUAUUUUAAAGAAAGUUUAGCAGAUCUUAUUGAAAAUCAUUGCUCUUUCUUCUAGUGAAAACAUGAGUUGGACUUUAAAUAAAUGGUAGCUUUGACUACACCAACAUGAGAAGCAUCUGAAUGCCCAUCUUGCUGCUAAUUUCUUUUACUAAAAGUGCAAUGAAGUAUUUAUAUAGCACACGAUAAAAAUAGGAAUGUGUAGAUAUAAUCAUUUUCUUUUUUUCUGGACAGUUGCUGACUGGGUUCCUCUGUGGAAUGUUUUACCCUAGCAAUAUCUGUAGAUGACUCUCCUUUUGCAAAGGCAAAGAUGUUAUUUAACCAUAAAUCAAUUAAUCACAUUGACAUCAACCACAGAAUUAAAACGUCAUCUGGGCACAGUGUUAUCUCUCUUUUCAUUCUCUCUUCCAUUGUAGAUCUCUAUAAUACAUGCAUGGAGAAUGAAAAGGGAUCACAGCCCAUCUCAGGAUGUUCAGACUCACCCAACACUAAAGCAGCAGACCCUGCCAGAAGUCAUUUUUGCUUAUAAGAGACACACAUACACAGUAAAUUUGGGAGGAGCAGACUAAUUCCUUUUAUCAGCUGCACACUUUGCUGGAGUGCAGCUAAUUGAGUUGUCCUGACAGUUUAUUUUGCCAGCCUUUUAAGCCUACAUUAACUUUCAAAUGUAUUUAAAUUUUCUGCCCACGUGACUACUGAUUUGCUGAGCUGUCACAGAGACUUCAGGCUGCAAACAUGUGUUGAAUGUGUCCCUUCACCCAAAUGGAUUCUGUGUCUGAUGUGUUCAAUAUUUGUCCAUCUUAUUUUCAUUUAAAUUGGAAGUUUUGAAACAGGUGUUCCCAUCCGUGUGACAGAAUUGUUUGUGUGUAUUUGUUUCCAGCGUUUCCAUUCCCCUUGGAAAAAAAAAUUGAGAUUAGAAUAUGACAUGCUAAGCCUUUUGAUGGCUCCCAAACCAAGGGUGUUAUUGAACCAGUGUCCUACUGAAUGAUAGACACAGCAUCAGCCAUUGAAAACAGAAUCUCAAUUUUGAGAGCUUGGGGCUACAAGGCCUUGUCUUCCUUUCCAAGCCUAAAAAG
Molecule: long non-coding RNA, 3402 nt
Filed under: Mus musculus (house mouse)
Lineage: Eukaryota; Metazoa; Chordata; Mammalia; Rodentia; Muridae
Description: long non-coding RNA chr1:66688935-66692337
Source: RNAcentral